Molecule: transfer RNA, 73 nt
Organism: Azoarcus sp.
Lineage: Bacteria; Pseudomonadati; Pseudomonadota; Betaproteobacteria; Rhodocyclales; Zoogloeaceae
Rfam family: tRNA
About the family: Transfer RNA (tRNA) molecules are approximately 80 nucleotides in length. Their secondary structure includes four short double-helical elements and three loops (D, anti-codon, and T loops).
Source: Rfam
GGGGCUGUAGCUCAGCUGGGAGAGCGGCGGCUUUGCAAGCCGUAGGUCGUCGGUUCGAUCCCGACCAGCUCCA